GCCGGAGUGGCGGAAUUGGUAGACGCAGGGGACUCAAAAUCCCCCACUCCUUGCGGGUAUGAGAGUUCGAGUCUCUCCUCCGGCA
This 85-nucleotide transfer RNA is filed under the name Desulfarculus baarsii DSM 2075. It matches the Rfam family "tRNA". Rfam says of the family: Transfer RNA (tRNA) molecules are approximately 80 nucleotides in length. Their secondary structure includes four short double-helical elements and three loops (D, anti-codon, and T loops). Further hydrogen bonds mediate the characteristic L-shaped molecular structure. tRNAs have two regions of fundamental functional importance: the anti-codon, which is responsible for specific mRNA codon recognition, and the 3' end, to which the tRNAs corresponding amino acid is attached (by aminoacyl-tRNA synthetases). tRNAs cope with the degeneracy of the genetic code in two manners: having more than one tRNA (with a specific anti-codon) for a particular amino acid; and 'wobble' base-pairing, i.e. permitting non-standard base-pairing at the 3rd anti-codon position. Lineage: Bacteria; Pseudomonadati; Thermodesulfobacteriota; Desulfarculia; Desulfarculales; Desulfarculaceae. The record is from Rfam by way of RNAcentral.